AUAGAUUAAAUAAUUUAAUUUUAAUCUCAUGUAUAAGAUCUAAUCUUAGACUACCACAUCAGAAUCUUUGAUAUAAAAAAAUAUAUAUUUUAGAUCUGAAAAUAAAAAUCACAUCGAUCUCAUAGAUACUAAAAUUCUAGAUCUAACUAUUAGAUCUACUACAAGAAUCAAAACAAAUUAGAGAUCGUUACCAAAAAAAUUUUGAUCUUAAUCUUCUCUAAUUCAAUGAUUAGAGAGGAUAUUCUUUAGGUCACUCACAGCCACACGAAGUCAUCUGACCUCUAUAGAAAAAUUCACAAAAGACUAGCACAGAUCAAGGACUCGGAGAUGCUAGUCUGCGAAUAACUUUGAUAGCUGAUCUCUUUCUUCUUCUACAAGUAACUUAGAUACUCCAAAGUGAUAGAAAAUCUGAAGGAGAA
This 419-nucleotide long non-coding RNA is filed under the name Elaeis guineensis (African oil palm). RNAcentral describes it as "long non-coding RNA (EGUI_LNC004736)". The record is from RNAcentral. Lineage: Eukaryota; Viridiplantae; Streptophyta; Magnoliopsida; Arecales; Arecaceae.